GAUGAACGCUGGCGGCGUGCCUAAUACAUGCAAGUCGAGCGAACAGACGAGGAGCUUGCUCCUCUGACGUUAGCGGCGGACGGGUGAGUAACACGUGGAUAACCUACCUAUAAGACUGGGAUAACUUCGGGAAACCGGAGCUAAUACCGGAUAAUAUAUUGAACCGCAUGGUUCAAUAGUGAAAGACGGUUUUGCUGUCACUUAUAGAUGGAUCCGCGCCGCAUUAGCUAGUUGGUAAGGUAACGGCUUACCAAGGCAACGAUGCGUAGCCGACCUGAGAGCGUGAUCAGCCACACUGGAACUGAGACACGGUCCAGACUCCUAAGGGAGGCAGCAGUAGGGAAUCUUCCACAAUGGGCGAAAGCCUGACGGAGCAACGCCGCGUGAGUGAUGAAGGUCUUCGGAUCGUAAAACACUGUUAUUAGGGACGAACAAAUGUGUAAGUAACUAUGCACGUCUUGACGGUACCUAAUCAGAAAGCCACGGCUAACUACGUG
This 497-nucleotide ribosomal RNA is filed under the name uncultured bacterium. RNAcentral describes it as "partial 16S ribosomal RNA". It matches the Rfam family "Bacterial small subunit ribosomal RNA", at positions 28 to 507 of the family's 1533-position model. The record is from RNAcentral.